GUCUUUAUGAGUUAUUUUUAAAGUCUGACCUGCCCACUGAAUAAUUUUUAAAUGGCCGCAGUAUUCUAACUGUGCAAAGGUAGCAUAAUCAUUAGUCUUUUAAUUGAAGGCUGGUAUGAACGGUUGGACGAAGUAUAAGCUGUUUCAUAUAAAAUUAUAUUAGAAUUUUAUAUUUUAGUUAAAAAGCUAAAAUUUUAUUAAAAGACGAGAAGACCCUAUAAAUCUUUAUAUUUGAAAUUAUUUGAAUUUUUUUGAUUGAUUUUAUUUUUAUAAUAUUAAAUAUUUUGUUGGGGUGAUAUUAAAAUUUAAUUAACUUUUAAUUAUUAAUUAAAUCAUUAAUUUAUGAAUAAUUGAUCCAUUAAUAAUGAUUAUAAGAUUAAGUUACUUUAGGGAUAACAGCGUAAUUUUUUUUGAGAGUUCAUAUCGAUAAAAAGGUUUGCGACCUCGAUGUUGGAUUAAGAUAUAUAUUUAGGUGUAGCUGCUUAAACGUUAAGUCUGNUCGACUUUUAAAUCNUACAU
RNAcentral lists this ribosomal RNA (519 nucleotides) under Ceratitis divaricata. Its description in RNAcentral is "partial 16S ribosomal RNA". The stretch from base 392 to 519 matches the Rfam family "Bacterial large subunit ribosomal RNA", at positions 2473 to 2601 of the family's 2925-position model. Lineage: Eukaryota; Metazoa; Arthropoda; Insecta; Diptera; Tephritidae. The record is from RNAcentral.